AUGGACAAGGGCACAAGGCGUUCUGUCUGGUGGCGCACUCGAAGAGCAAGGAUUGACGGCGUACCACUUUGUCAAACCCGGAGCCUCGGGGUUCACCCUGUCCGUCGAUUCAGCAGACCUUGUCGGAGAAGAUUGGCGUCGCCGGCGAUUUUUUCUGCCCGCAACCUGAGCUGGCAUUUGAGUAGGCCGGAGCAGCAGAAGCGAAACGAGCUCGCGGGAGCGCCGCCAGAGGACCGCGGAAACCUGCAGUUACCUGUCUACGACAUCAAGCAGGAACUCGAGCCCAGCGUAUUCCGGUGCUCACCGGCCGGAGCUACCGCAGCUCGCCGUAAACUGCUGGAUUUGGGCAAGCCGUCCGCGGCGGCGGCAGGCUUCGAGAAUGACUCGACUACUCUCGAGCCGGAUGUGGGCGACUUUGACCACACGCACGGGACUGUUGUUUCCCAAACGGGGAUUGCCGACGUGGCAAUGGGGUGGCUGGGAUGGGUCGUUCGGUGUGCGCCUGAGGCGAUAUUAGUGGGCCGGCCCAGUUGGGCCCGUCACUUUGCUUCGUUCUCUCCGCGUCCCCCUGCAUUCUUUCUUCUCUGGCGACGGCAAUGGCGACCGACGGUUGAUCGCCACCUCUGCGACGAUCGUGACGGCGCGACGGCGCGUCGAAGAAGAAGUGAAAUCAUGGACCCAACUGAGAUUUUGAACGUUCGGUUUCAUAUUGGAGGGAAGUUCAUCCGCAUUGGUCCAAAUUUGAACUAUGUUGGGGGAGAUCAAGCAAUGUCAGAGAUUGAGAGGGAUAAAUUGUCUCUGCAGGAAGUGAAAGGCUAUUUAAAAGAUCAUACUCAGUUGAUGGAAUCGAUGAAGUUCUAUUUUCUGCUUCCUGGAAAAGAGCUUAUCAAUGGCUUGGUGUUCCUUAAUGAUGACAGUUGGUGUGUGAAGAUGGCUGAGUACAUUUGUGUUGGAGGAGUUGCUGAUGUGUAUGUGGAGUAUCAUGGAGAGGAAGAUAGCAAUGACAGCAGCAGUGGGAGUGAUUUUGAGGAUGAAAUCAUGGAACAGAGUGAUGAUGAUGAAUUAGAUGCAGUUAUAACUGCUGAAGAACCAGAUGCAGUUAUAACUGCUGAUGAACCAGAUGCAUUAACUGGUGUUGAACAUGCAGAGUCUGAUACUGAUGUGCUCAUACCUGAUGAAACUGGUGUGAUCACUCAAAGAAUUUGCAGCCCCUUGAAGCAGAGAAGAAGCAAUGCCAGAGAAGUAGAUGUUGAUGAAAUGGCAGGCAUGGAAGGAGUUUUUUCUCAGGUUUUGGAUCCAAGUCAACCUGCAUCAGCCUGUGCUUCUGAACCUCAGGCUUCAGGGCAUGUCAAUAACCAAAUGGUGAUAGCUGCAAAUGUUGACAGUGGCAAUCAAAAUUCAGACUCAGACAGUGACACUGAAUACAUUGGACAUACUGAUGAUAGUGGGGAGGAUUCAGAAGUUGUGGAGCUCAGGAGACAUGCUAGGAAAUUUAAGAAAAGGAUGAGGGACUCCAAGAGCUGGAUAGGUAGGGAUGCUACAGGGCCAGUGCCAAUUGAAUUGAUUGCCAACAUGGAGGAGCAAAUUGAAAGAGAAGAAAUGGAUUGGAACUAUGAUUCAUCUGAUGAGGACUACAGCUAUGAUGAAGAUUCAGAUGGUCAUAUAAGGAAGAGGAAGAGUACAUUCCCAAGAUACAACCCUGAAAGUGAAGUACCACAUUUUGCUUUGACCAUGGUUUUUAGAAGCAAGAAUCAGUUGUGCAAAGCUUUGAGAAGAUAUGGACUAGUAACAAAGAGGAGCAUCAAGGUCAUGAAAUGUGAGUGUGACAGAGUAAGGGCAAAGUGUGGAUGGCCUGGCUGCCCAUGGCUGAUAUAUGCAGCCAAGAGAUCAAGGACUUCAAGAUUCCAAGUCAUAACAUAUAAUGAUGAUCACCAAUGUGCACAGAAUAGAUGCAACAAGUUGGUUACUGCAAAGGUGAUUGCACAGAGGUAUGAGCACUUCAUAUUGGCAAAUCCUAUGUGGAAAAUUGAUAGCAUGAAAGCAACUGUUUUGCAAGAUAUGUUUGCUGAUGUCUCCACUUCAAAGUGCAAGCAUGCAAAAAGAAUUGUCAUGGAAAAAUUAUUGUGUGGAAUGAACAAUGAAUACACUAGAGUGUUUGACUACCAACUUGAGUUGUUAAGGAGCAACCCUGGAAGCACAGUUGUUGUUUGCAUGGAUCCAACCAACAUGGAGGAAAGUGUAUUCCAGAGCUUCUAUGUGUGCUUUAAUGCAAUGAAGCAAGGAUUCAAGGCUGGUUGCAGAAAAUGGUUUGUUGGGCUGCUCAUUAAGGACUUGGAAAUAAACAAUAAUGGAGCUGGCUGGGUUAUUAUUUCUGAUCAGCAGAAGGGCUUGAUAAAUGCAGUUAAUGAUUACCUUCCUGCUGCAGAGCAUAGGAUGUGUGCUAGGCACAUUUAUGCUAAUUGGAGGAAGAAACAUAGAGAUCAUGAGUGGCAAAAGAAAUUUUGGGCAGUUGCUAAGGCUUCCAACAGGCAAGAUUUCAACUAUUAUAAGGCCAAGCUUGCACAAGUUACUCCUGAAGGGGCUAAAGACAUCAUGAGGACUGAGCCAGUGCACUGGGCAAGGGCUUUUUUCCCAGUUGGUUCAAAUUGUGAGUCAGUUGACAACAACCUUUGUGAGUCAUUCAACCAUGCUAUAGUUGAUGCUAGGUUUUAUCCUAUUAUUUCUAUGAAUGAAAAAAUUAGGAAGAAAGUACUUGUGAGAAUUCAGGAACAAAGAGAGAAAGGUGCCAACUUUAGAGGAAAAAUAUGCCCUGCUGUUUUCAAAAAGCUGAAGAAAAGUAUUGCUAGAACACAAUAUCUUGAAGUGCUCUGGAAUGGAGAAAAUGGAUUUGAAGUGAAGCAAGUGAAUGGAAGAGGAAGGCAGUACACUGUUGACCUGGAAAAAUGGACAUGCUCUUGUGGGUACUUCCAGCUGGCAGGGCUUCCUUGCCACCAUGCAAUUAGUGCCAUCUAUAAGUGCAACAAAAAUAUUGAUGAUUUUAUUGCUCCUUGCUACUUUUUUGAAGUGUUCAACAAAAUCUAUGAGCAUUGCUUGCAGCCAGUGGAGGGUGAAGAGAUGUGGCCAGUGUCACCCAAUCCUAGGCCAGUGCCUCCUGAAUAUAUUAGGUUGCCAGGAAAAGAGAAGAAAAAAGGAAGGCCUAAAAACAAUGAUAGGAGAAGAGAAGAAACUGAGCAACCUAAGGGGAAGAAAAUGAGCAAGCAUGGCACAAUUAUCAAAUGCUCAUUGUGUGGUAACCCUGGACACAACAAAUCAGGAUGUAAACAGAAUCCAGAGAGAGGCAAGAAAAAGAAUGCACAUCUUGCUAGAACUAGCAAGAAAAAGAACCCAACUGAGCAAUCCAAAGGAAGUGCAUCUGCCUCUGCUUCUGCAUCUGCUCCACCAACAGCAACAAGUUCAGUACCAACAGGUCCUUCUGCUGGGACCAACAGGUUUAAGCCUCCAAGAAAGAGAACUGCAACUGCUGAAGCUGGAUCAUCUGCUGCCCCUACAACAUCUACUUCCACAAGGACAGGAUCUGGAGCUAAGAGGGGAAGAAGGCCUGCAUCAUCAGUGCCAAGCUUCAGAUAUUUCACUUGCAGUGGAAACUACUAG
RNAcentral lists this ribosomal RNA (3651 nucleotides) under Triticum aestivum (bread wheat). RNAcentral describes it as "partial small subunit ribosomal RNA". The record is from RNAcentral. Lineage: Eukaryota; Viridiplantae; Streptophyta; Magnoliopsida; Poales; Poaceae.